RNAcentral lists this ribosomal RNA (519 nucleotides) under uncultured eukaryote. RNAcentral describes it as "SSU rRNA". It matches the Rfam family "Eukaryotic small subunit ribosomal RNA", at positions 1161 to 1704 of the family's 1831-position model. The record is from RNAcentral.
AGGGCACCACCAGGAGUGGAGCCUGCGGCUUAAUUUGACUCAACACGGGGAAACUCACCCGGCCCGGACACCGGAAGGAUUGACAGAUUGAUAGCUCUUUCUUGAUUCGGUGGAUGGUGGUGCAUGGCCGUUCUUAGUUGGUGGAGCGAUCUGUCUGGUUAAUUCCGAUAACGAACGAGACUCUAGCCUAUUAAAUAGACGUCGGGUUCUCUGCACUCGACGGUCUUCUUAGAGGGACAAGGUGCUUUUAGCACCGCGAAACAGAGCAAUAACAGGUCUGUGAUGCCCUUAGAUGUCCGGGGCCGCACGCGCGCUACACUGAAGGAAGCAGCGUGUAACAACCUUGUUCUAACGAACUGGGUAACCCGUGGAACUUCCUUCAUGAUUGGGAUAGGGGUUUGCAAUUGUGCCCCUUGAACGAGGAAUUCCCAGUAAACACUAGUCAUCAGCUAGUGCUGAUUACGCCCCUGCCCUUUGUACACACCGCCCGUCGCUACUACCGAUUGAAUGGUUUAGUGA